RNAcentral lists this ribosomal RNA (500 nucleotides) under uncultured bacterium. RNAcentral's name for it is "bacterial SSU rRNA". It matches the Rfam family "Bacterial small subunit ribosomal RNA", at positions 28 to 517 of the family's 1533-position model. The record is from RNAcentral.
GAUGAACGCUAGCGGCAGGCCUAACACAUGCAAGUCGAACGGUAACAGGAAAAGCUUGCUUUUUUGCUGACGAGUGGCGCACGGGUGCGUAACGCGUAUACAAUCUGCCUUUUACAGGGGGAUAGCCUUUAGAAAUGAAGAUUAAUACCCCAUAGUAUAUAGAAGUGGCAUCACUUUUAUAUUAAAGCUUCGGCGGUAAAAGAUGAGUAUGCGUUCUAUUAGCUAGUAGGUGUGGUAACGGCACACCUAGGCAACGAUAGAUAGGGGCCCUGAGAGGGGGAUCCCCCACACUGGUACUGAGACACGGACCAGACUCCUACGGGAGGCAGCAGUGAGGAAUAUUGGACAAUGGUCGGAAGACUGAUCCAGCCAUGCCGCGUGCAGGAAGACUGCCCUAUGGGUUGUAAACUGCUUUUUUAUACGGGAAGAAAACCCAACUACGUGUAGUUGGCUGACGGUACCGUAAGAAUAAGCAUCGGCUAACUCCGUGCCAGCCGCCG